AAAAGGAAGAAGAGCAGUUCUGUGGCUAGAGCAGAUUCUUCGAAGUGAGUUGCAGUACAGGCGUGUGCGUGUGACUGUGAAAAAUCUGUGGAAUUGUGAACCGGAAAGCAUUUCAAUACCGCGUUUAACCUCGAUUAACAGCGAAUUUGCCAUCAUUUGAUACGAAAUUCUACCAGGAUCAGUAGCAAGUAAUGGUCGGUUCACGCGUAUAUGUUGGCGGUUUGCCGUACGGCGUCAGGGAACGCGAUUUGGAGCGUUUUUUCAAAGGUUAUGGCAGGACAAGAGAUAUUCUGAUAAAGAAUGGCUAUGGAUUCGUUGAAUUUGAAGACUAUCGUGAUGCUGAUGACGCCGUAUAUGAGUUGAACGGGAAGGAGCUGCUGGGAGAAAGAGUUGUUGUGGAACCUGCAAGGGGUACUGCACGUGGUCCCAGCGGAUACCGUGAAAGAGAUCGAUAUGACCGAGAUCGUCGUGGUGGAAGGUAUGACAAAUAUAAAAGCAAUUCCAGGAACAGUUCCCGCUAUGGACCGCCGCUUCGCACCGAAUAUCGUCUGGUCGUGGAGAAUUUAUCAACCCGUGUCAGCUGGCAGGCGGCUGCCCUUAUUUCAUGAUGAGAGAGGUCAUAGAACUAGGGUUUACACAUUAUACUGUGUGGUAGCGCCUGUUGAAUGCAACACUUCAUAUGACUAGGGAGCGAAUGAUGGGAAGAGAACGUGCACGAUCAAUCGGAUGAGGUCGUCAACAAUCGUUACAGUGAAUCAACAUCGUUCAACUUCGUGAAGGACGAUAAGCCCUUAUGGAAGAUGCCUUUUGGUUGGUCAAGAAUAGGAAUCAGCACGACACUACCGAUCAGUUAGUGCUAAAUGCGACAAAAAUCAUUACCAGACCAUGGAGAUUGAUUCGAUGACGGAUGAUGGAUGUAUGGCUCUAUCCUCUAAACCACCUGACGGAAAUCGGAUGAAGAUGAAGCGUAGUUCACAAUUUCAAAGCAUAAAAGAAAUUAUCAUCUUACUUCGACAAAUUAUUCCGGAAUCGAUGCAAGCUUUAAAGGAAUUUAUGCUAAGAAGUCGAUAAGCGUUGAUACGAAGAUGAAAAAAGAAGCCCAGCGAGGACAAAUCAUCGGGAUGAACUCGCCCUGUACAGCACACAUCUGUCACAUUCUCCGGAUACAGAAUGGAUAAUAUUGCAGCGCCCCCAAAGUUCUGUGGCCCAACGUAGCCAACAAAUCAGAAAAAUUUGUGCGAGCCCAAGGAUCGAUCGCUGCCCCUUGGUCUGGUCAUCAGAUGAACGUAGGAAGGGAUGACGUUUUGAAAUGGCUCAAACCGUGACCGAUGAACUCUCACACGAACGAUUCAAUCGCAAUAAGACAGCGCAGUCAGAAUUUGGUUAAGGGGAUCCUCGUCUUGGCGGCAUAUCGAAUUCUACUUGCUUCAAUCUCCAACGCAACGGGGUUUAGACGAAUUGGAAAGACUGGAGUCGGGACUGUUCAGCUUACAAGAUGAUUUUUCCCACAACCGGUUACCUUUUUGUGUGCAUAAUCGCAGUUCUUCGACAGCAAUAGGUCACAUGCACCGAUAAGGAAUCUCGGCACAUAAUUGUGCUCUCCAUAUUCGCCCUUUGGGACGAAAGCUUCCGGACAAUUGCAACGCCAGAUGACGACGAUGAAAAGGAUGUCUAUCUUACACGUUCUAAUGAUGGCAAUGAGCGUACUCGUCCGUGGUUCUACCCGAAAUUAUCCGGUGCGGUGUGGUGCACCUGCAGUCUAUUGAGGCCCUUAAACUAAUGUCGGAACUUGGUGUAACCUGGACCAAGGAAGGGAGAGACCCUUCUACGCGCGAGUGAAGAUGCGGCUCGGCCCCACUUGGAUAUGUAACGAGCGCGAACCGGCGAUGCCAUCGGGACCUGUCCAUCCGAACGUCGUAGGCGUAUGCUCUAUUCCUUUUUUCUUUUCUAUUUUCAAGCUUUGACUGCUUUCUUCCCCCGCCAAAUGCGUGUUUCAAUCCAUUUCAUCCACUCGAGAACAUGGACAUUCAUCGAUUGUGGCUGGAGAGAAGAUGACACUAGCAUGAUGAGGUUUAGUCAGCUGAGAUGAUACCUGUUUAUCAAACUUCGUAUCAUCGUCUAUACUUUUGACCAAUGGCAAUGGUGCAGCCGCCAAACAUUUCUUCCUUCGCGAUGUUUUGGAAGAUGAGCGUUUCUUGAUGGUUCUGCGGUGAGCUGCAAGCGGAGGAAACAGCCGAUCGCGUAGUGACUUCGUAAUUCUCCGGGCAUUGCUCUGAUGACCCUUUCGUUCAUCGGAUGCCUUUAUUCGCGCUGCUGGGUCUCGUCGAUCGCAUUCCCUUCGAAGAAGACAUAUUCCACAUCAGAAGUCAGACAUUAUGUGAAGGACUGAAUCUCCACCCCCUUUGGCAAUUAGCGAUGGUUGCAGCACAGUGACGGCCAUGUCCCGCUCCAUAUCCACACUAAACACACACAUGCAUGAUGAGAGGAGAGGUCAAAUCUGUGGUUCUGUGAACAUUAUAAAGGAAAGACGAUUCGUUGACUGUCCCAAAUACCAAAACUGUGCCCGGCCGCUAAG
RNA transcript from Anopheles funestus (African malaria mosquito), 2575 nucleotides. It is a transcript of the gene named serine-arginine protein 55, with no coding region annotated. The transcript is spliced from 7 exons. The record is from RefSeq and is a predicted model, not a curated record. NCBI's taxonomy places the organism in Eukaryota, Metazoa, Arthropoda, Insecta, Diptera, Culicidae.